AUCUUUGAAGCUGGCUCAGGAUGAACGCUAGCGCAGGCCUAGCACAUGGCAGUCGAACGAGAUUAAGAGGCUUGCUGUUUAUGAAAGUGGCGCACGGGUGCGUAACGCGUAUGCAACCUACCUUAAUCAGACGAUAGCCCGAAGAAAUUCGGAUUAAGACCGCAUAAAAACACAGGAUAGCAUUAUCCAAUGUUCAAAUAUUUAUAGGAUUAAGAUGGGCAUGCGUGUCAUUAGCUAGUUGGCGGGGUAACGGCCCACCAAGGCGACGAUGACUAGGGGAUCUGAGAGGAUGACCCCCCACACUGGUACUGAGACACGGACCAGACUCCUACGGGAGGCAGCAGUAACUUAUAUUGGUCAAUGGAGGGAACUCUGAACCAAGCAUGCCGCGUGCAGGUUGACAGCCCUCUGGGUCGUAAACUGCUUAGCUCGGGAAUAAACCUUUCUACGUGUAGGAAGCUGAAUGUACCGAAGGAAUAAGGAUCGGCUAACUCCGUGCCAGCAGCCGCGGUAAUACGGAGGAUCCAAGCGUUACAGGGAUUUAUUGGGUUUAACUGGUGCGUAGGCGGCUUAUUAAGUCAGGGGUGAAGACGGUGGCUCACCCAUCGCAGUGCCCUUGAUACUGAUGAGCUUGAGAACACUAGAGGUAGGCGGAAUGUGACAAGUAGCGGUGAAAUGCAUAGAUAUGUCACAGAACACCGAUUGCGAAGGCAGCUUACGCGGGUGUUAUUGACGCUGAGGCACGACUCCGUGGGGAUCAAACAGGAUUAGAUACCCUGGUAGUCCACGCCCUAGAUGAAUACUCGCUGUUAGCGAUAUACAGUUAGCGGCUAAGCGAAAGCGUUAAGUAUUCCACCUGGGGAGUACGCCCGCAAGGGUGAAACUCAAAGGAAUUGACGUACGCCCGCACAAGCGGAGGAGCAUGUGGUUUAAUUCGAUGAUACGCGAGGAACCUUACCCGGGCUUGAACUUUAGUGAAUGAUCUAGAGAUAGAUCAGUGAGCAAUCACACGAGUGUAGGUGCUGCAGAAUGUCGUCAGCUCGUGCCGUGAGGUGUACGGUUAAGUCCCGCAACGGCGCAACCCCUAUGUUUAGUUGCCAGCACGUUAAGGUGGGGACUCUAAACAGCUUGCCUGUGCAAACAGAGAGCUAGGAGUGACGACGUCAAGUCAUCAUGGCCCUUACGGACGGGGCUACACACGUGCUACAAUGGAUGGUACAGAGGGCAGCAAGCUGGCAACAGCAAGCGAAUCUCAAAAAGCCAUUCACAGUUCGGAUAGAGGUCUGCAACUCGACCUCUUGAAGUUGGAUUCGCUAGUAAUCGCGUAUCAGCAAUGACGCGGUGAAUACGUUCCCGGCCUUGUACACACCGCCCGUCAAGCCAUGGAAGUUGUCGGUACCUAAAGUAUGUAACCUUACUAAGCGUCCUAGGGUAAAACCGAUAACUGGGGCUAAGUCGUACUGUCGUAGCGU
Molecule: ribosomal RNA, 1472 nt
Filed under: uncultured Pedobacter sp.
Lineage: Bacteria; Pseudomonadati; Bacteroidota; Sphingobacteriia; Sphingobacteriales; Sphingobacteriaceae
Description: bacterial SSU rRNA
Rfam family: Bacterial small subunit ribosomal RNA
Source: RNAcentral